UGCUCAGCAUUCCAAAUUCUGUUCUCUCCAUGUCUUUCUCUCCUUCUCCCAGCAUUUUAAAGUUAGAUGUCUUUUCUUCUGUAGGGGGAAAAGUGUACAGUAGGUGGUGAGUAAAAGAACAGUUGAGCAUGUAGUGAUAUUAAAAAAUCUGAAUAAGAAUUAUUUUGAUGAGAUUUAGGUUACAGGGGAGGGUUCCUACAGAAUGGAUGGGACUUCAGGGGAAAAUUCUUGUCUUGUAUUUGUACUAAAUAAUUGCUUUUAUUAACAAUAAUGACUAAUGGGAAUGAUACAGUGAGACUUGUUUCUUCUUGUCUCCUUGUACUACAGACCAAUAUUUGCCUAAUGUCUCAGAAAAGUAGAAAUUGCAGAAAAUUGCAAAGAAGACAAAAAUCAUCUUUGAUUUAAAUAAAUUUCAUAAUCACUGUCAACAGUCAAUGUGUACCUUUCAUAAACAUAUAUAUUCUUGAAUUUUAACACUUGAUAUCAGAACAAGACAUAGAAACUACAGGAAAGAACGAUGAUAAGCCAAUUUCAUUCAUGAACAGCAACACAAAAUUCUAACCAAAAAUAUUAUCAAGCUGAAUUGCACCAUUUAUAAAUGAGAUCAUAUACACUGUGACUAAAUUUAUUUAUUCCAGAAAUUUGGUUAGAAUUGACAUUAUACAAAUCAUUAUUGUAAUGUAGCACAUUAAAAGUUUGUCUUUUUUAAGAAGUAUAAUCUCAAUAGACACAGAAAAAGCAGUCAAAAAUUAACACUCAUUCAUGAAAGAAAUAUGAAAGUGGGAAGAGAAAGAAACUUCCCUAAUCUGAAAGAGUGUAUCUCCCACAAAUAUUACAUUAAAUAGUGAAAUAUUAAGAUCAUUCUCUUUUCUAUGAGAAAUAAGAUCAGGAUGACUGCUUCUCUUCAAUAUUUUCUUGGAGGCUCUAGCCAGCACAGCGGGAAAAGAGAGAAAUAUAAAAUAUACUAAUUGGGAAGGAAUAGAUAAAACUGUCACUAUUUAUGUAUAAUUGUCUGCCUCAAAACUCAAGAGAGGCUACAGAGAAAUAUAAAAAUAGGAUUAACUAGAGACUUUAGCAAAAUGUAAGUUUAAUAUAUGAAAGACAAUUACAUUUCUAUACAUCAACAGCAAUUAGAAUAUCUAAUUUCAAAAAUUA
Molecule: long non-coding RNA, 1155 nt
Filed under: Vulpes vulpes (red fox)
Lineage: Eukaryota; Metazoa; Chordata; Mammalia; Carnivora; Canidae
Description: lncRNA (ENSVVUG00000022549.1)
Source: RNAcentral